This 69-nucleotide transfer RNA is filed under the name Boana benitezi (Benitez's treefrog). RNAcentral describes it as "Hypsiboas benitezi (Benitez's treefrog) tRNA-Val". The record is from RNAcentral. Lineage: Eukaryota; Metazoa; Chordata; Amphibia; Anura; Hylidae.
CAAAAUGUAGCUUAAAACAAAGCAUCUUGCUUACACCAAGAAAAUGCCCACUAAACUCGGACCAUUUUG